RNAcentral lists this long non-coding RNA (596 nucleotides) under Cricetulus griseus (Chinese hamster). RNAcentral's name for it is "lncRNA (ENSCGRG00015031842.1)". The record is from RNAcentral. Lineage: Eukaryota; Metazoa; Chordata; Mammalia; Rodentia; Cricetidae.
CCUGCUCACCUGCCAGGGCAGUGGCUGCUUUGUAAUAUCUUGAUCAAAACGUGCCUGAAUAAUGAAGGCAAACAUGAUCCGCUGGUUCAACACAAUUCUGAGGUCUCUGUACCGGUCUCGAUUUUCAUCAGCUGUGUGGAAGUUCUGACUCGACUGGAAACGUAACCCACAUUCCACAUUCUGGCAAUGCAGAAGUUUGAAAAAAUCCAUCCCUCAAGCAUUGCCGACUUCCUGGCUUGUUCAUCGAUUAUAGUUGACCCUCCGGGGUUUCAAGUGAAACAGCACAUUGAGGUGUCUUGUGAUCCAAAGUUGUUAGAAGUCCCCCGCCCCAAUUGCCCCAGUUUACAAAGAAUUGGGCAUUUCCCCAAAUUCUAAACCAUUUGCUUUUGUUUGCCUAGUUUAAUCCACAGCAUGAGGCCUGUCAGAUACAAUGAAACACAAUUCUGACCACAGUAACACCAUGCUAAGAUGAGCAGAAUCCUGGAGAAACAGGCCAACAAAAGCUACAGCCAGAGCCAACAGGUCCAAAUGGAUGAGUGAAGCAGAAAUGGUGGCCUCCUGACAAGAUGUGGACUGCAAACCACCUUUUGACACAA